CUCUCUGGCAUCAAAGGCAGUGUAUCUCCUAACACUGAAGCUGUGGAGGGAAAAAACUGAGAACUUCAGGGAACUUCCGUGUGUUCUAAAGUAUAGAAAGGAACACACGUAAUUUGAAAGCUAAAAGGAAUUUAUGAAGAAACUGAGGCUUGCAAAUUUGAGAGGUGGUAGAGUACGGAUUUGUACCUAAAUCUAGCUGGCUCGAAAGUUCUACAUAGUUGUUUCCCAUUUUUCAAAGUGAAAAGAAGAAAGAGGUUUCUAUUUUUAAGAAGUAGAGGCAGAAUAAAGACUUUUUAAAGAUGUGCAAAGUCAGAAAGAAUUCAUUAUCAACCUACCUAUACUACAAGAAACGUUAAAGGAUAUCUUUCAGGCAGAAGGAAAUGAUAUAAGAUGGAAAUCUCGAUCUACAUAAAAGAAUGAAGAGAACAGGGAAUGGGUAGAGAGAAGAUAGAAUUGGACCCAUACAGACCCGUCUUCAUAUCUUGUUUCUGCUAUUUCCUGGCUGUGGGACCUUAGAGUUUGGAGGAGGAUCCAAGGAAAUAAUGUAUGAAAAGCACCUCACAAAGCCUGAUCCAUGGUAGAUACUGAAUGCAGGUUAUUCACCAUCUUUUCCCCAAAUAUACAUGAAAAACUCAAGGAAUGUAUAGCUGCAUGAAGACAUACAAUGAACAUGCAAUUAGAACUCUAAUGCAAGCAUGGCUUGAGAGUGUAGGUGGCAGCUGAAUGUAUCUGUGAAUUCAAAGGCCAAGGUAUUGACAAUGGGUGGAAAGAAACAUCAUGAGCCUGGUGGGUCAACCAGAUGGUCUCAGGCACGAGGUGAAGGUGCAGGUUUGGUGGGAGGAUGAGGGCUUCCACCCUUCCAGUUGGCUCCCCACUGUCUUGCCAUAGUUGCCUCACUGAGCGCCAAAUAACAGAGUGUGAAUGAUGGGAGUUCUCAAGUUUCCCUGCCCAGCUUUGGCCAACCAAACUACAGACCCCUCCAGCACAGCAAUGCCCAAGCUUAGGGAACAUGACUGACCCAGUUGAAAUCCAGAAACAGGAUGAAGUUAAAGUUCUGGUACAUCCAUAGCUGAGAUUUUGUGUCAUCAGAUACAUUUACUAUUCAACUCAUGGCCAGGUUGUCACAUGGGCAGCAGUUUAAGAUACUCAAUAAAGCCAAGUAUAAAGCUUGGUGCUGUCACCAGGUUGAUCUGCCUGAAUAAAUGUGGCUCAUGGAAAAUGAACUAUGGAAAAUGAUGGCUUUGGUCAGUUUUUCUUUCUUGUUUUACUUACCACCCAGUGAAACAAAAGUGUAAGAGAAAGAGCUUCUGGGAUAGCUUCUCACUAUAUGUAUGAGAGCCUGAGUGUGAACACAGGUCUAUGCUACUGUAAUGCCCAUGUUCAUUUUACAUAGCUACACUCUUCUCUGACUAUGUGAGUGUGUCAGAACUGAGUUAUGACAAGUGAUUGGAUGGGCUGAGAGGCAAAGGAUACAGUGAGCAGAAGAAACAGCACAUGUAUGACAAGGCCCUGAAUUGUUGCUGGAGUAUCAAGAUGAGAUACGUUUGCACAGAUCAUGUAAGGGAAGGCUUCUCAUAGAAGCAUCUGAAUGCUUUGAGAUAUGUAACUCAUCAUUUGUUCAUUUGGGGGGGGUAAUUCAACAGUUAUUUAUUGAGUGCCUUUUGUAUGCUGGGUAACGUUAUAAAAUUAGAAUUAGAAAUCACUAGAAACCUUUAUCAAAAUAUCACUGCUUCUUAUAUCUAGAACUUACUUGUCUCCUUUAAAAUAGACAUGUCUAUACAAUUUUGUCUAGUUGGCAAAACUAGCAGCAAAUGUUCCCUUAGCUGGCCUUUGAGUGAAAUAAACGAUGACUAUUUGUAAUAAAUUAAGAAGCAAGCACAAGGGAGAGUAAAGACAAGCAGAGAGAUAUUACAGGGUCUUUGGACUGGGGGAGAUAUUGUCUGUCAUAUGAUUCAGCCUGUGUAUUCUGCUGAAUUCCAGAAGUGAAGCGAACCUCCCAAGCUCUCUCAGUUACCUGUCUUGGCUCCUUUCAUUUUAUCCUCCCUACCAGGUCUUCCGUCAAUGUCUCAUUGUUUUUCACUUGGAUUAUUACAACAGCCUUCUAUCAUAUCUCCCCGCCUCCACACAGCAGCACAGGGAUCAUUUAGAAAAGCAAUUUCUUUAUUUUACUUUGCUCCUCAAAGCCAUUCAAUGUCUCCACAAUGCCUUGGGCCGUGCUUCUCAGACUGUGGCGUGUGCCUGGGUCCCAGACAGUACUCAAAGCCAUAGGAUAAACAUACUAUCACUUUAGAAUGCUAGUUUUUCUUGAUGGCUAGUAAUGAAAAAUAUUAUUUUAUAUUAAAACAAAUGAAUAUAUUAUAGCCAAGAUGAAAAAUUUGGAUGAGUUGAAAGAUUUCAAAAAAUUCACUUAGUUGUAAGCAGUUGAUGCCAGACCUUGGGGAAUGCAAAUUUAUUCUUUUUUUUUUUCGUUAGAGAUUAUUUCCAUGGGAAAAAUUUAUAAUGUUCUGGACCAUAGGAUAAAUUUCAAGUUACAUGCCAGUUUCUGCAGGAUCUGUUCAUGCCUGACUUGCCACUCUCUUCUCUUUAACGGUUCCCUUGAAACUCGCUUCUACUCGCCCACCUUCCCAUUCCACUUGAAAUAAUAGCAACUGGAGCCUCUGGGGUUUAGUCAAAAGCAAAAGCCAAAAAAAAAAAAAAAAAAAAAAGCAAAAGCCACUGUAGGUAUCUCAAACGGGAAUGAAUUUUAUACAGGAAAUUAGAAGAUUGCAAAGCUGUUGGAAGAACCAGGAAAACAAAGGCUAGGGGAACCACUGCCAGUGUUCAGGAAAUGAGGAAGUGCAGCAAUGGCAGGAAGCUCCGCUAGCUAGGGCUCUAGGCUGUCUGCAGCAGCAAAGUGAGCAAUUUGCAAGAGGAUGUCUGCAAAUUGCAGUCAAAGGGAAAAAUCUUAUGCCUGCCACCUGCCCCAAACCAAAAUAAUGGCUUUUGCUUCUCUUCUGCCUUUAAAAUAUUGCAUGUAUACUUCUAAUCCAGAAACUCUUGUGUUAUGGGCUGAACUGUGUCCCCCCUAAAUUCAUAUGUUUAGCUCUAACUCCCAGUACUUCAGAAUGUGACUGUAGUAUUUGGAGAUAGGGCCUUUAAAGAGACAUUAAAGUAGAAUGAGGUUAUGUGGGUGGACACUAAUCCAAUCUAACUAGUAUUCUUAUAAAAAGAGGAGAUUAGAAUACAGGCACAGAGGGAAGCCAAGUGAAGACAUGAAGACAAGGUGGCCAUCCACAAGCCCAGGAGAGAGGCUUCAGAAGAAACCAAUGCUGCCAACACCUUGAUCUUGGAUUUCUAGCCUCUAGAACUGUGAGCAAAUAAAUUUCUAUUGUUAAAGCCACCCGAUCUCUGGGACUUUGUUAUGGCAGCCCUAGCAAACUAAUACAUUCUGGGAAUAGGGAUUUUGCAGGAGAUAGCUGCUAGGCUUCCAAUACCCUUGUUACAAAGGGGAACAUAGAAGGGCAGAAAUGGUACUGAAUGGCCAAGAGACAAUCUGGCACUGCUGCCCUUGGCUGAACUCAUGCUAAGACCCAGUCAUGGAGCUAAGCACGUUGCACAUGUUAUCUCAUUUAAUUUAAUCCUCAUAUCAUCCACUAAUAGUGGGAACCUGGAUCUGACCACUGAGGUGGAUCUCUUAGUACACUAUCUGGUUGCAUAUGCACUUUCCUCUCUGGUCCACCCAGGGGGCAUUUACUGGUACUUUGCCCACUCCCCACCCAACACUAAUCCCCCCCUCGCCCCACAGAACACACCAUUUCCUCCUGUAUUCCCCAGAACCCAUAGCCUAUAUGGACUUCUUAUCCCAGUUCCUGUGCAGAUUCUGUGCACUUUUACAUCGAUGUGUUUGUCAUCUUCACUAAACUCUAGGUUUCUAAAGACCAGGGACCACAUCUUGUUUGGUUUUGCAUUUCUAGAGCCCAAUUCAGUGCCUGAUGAUAUGGUUUUUAUUCAAGAUGUGUUAGAAGAAGGUGGGAGGGGGGAUUAGAACCGAGGACUAGACCACAGUGCUUUCCCUGCACCACAGUGCCAUAAUCCUGUAAGAACAAUGCUAACUAAUCCAGAAAGGACAGGAAAGAGGAAUGCUUUUACAUACAUGCAUGAUGCACGCAUGCGUGACUUUUCUAGCCCUGAUGCUAGACCCUUUCCCUUAUAGAAAUUGGCCAGCAGUGUGGUGACUCACUAACCUUCUAAGUAGCUAAUCAAAUGUCUCAUUUGCUCAGUUGACAGAGAGAUAAGAGAGAAGUGCGGUGGGUCAGAGAAGAGGGGCCUUAGAGAGCUGAGAGGGAGGCCUCACAAAGCAGAUGACAUUUGUUUGAGCUUGAUCUUAAACCAUGAGCCAGUGUGCUAGGGUGGGUGGUGGGUUAUGGAUAUUCCAGAAAGGGGAAUAGCAUGGGCCAUGUCAAGAGACUUUGGCUUGUUCAGUAAAGAGUAAGUAGUUAGGGGUGUGUGUGUGUGUUAUGUGUACGUGUGUGUGCGUGUGGUGGGGGGUGUGGGAGUGUGCUGAUAGGAAUUGAAAAACCACAACAAACAUUCUUAUGUACAAGUAUUUUUUCAUAUUUCAGAUAGUCAGAGAAUGUUUAGAUCUGGGAACUCUUUAUAACAUCAAAAAUUGGAAAUGGCCAAUGCUAGGAGAAUGGACAUAUAAACUACAGUGUAUUUCCUCAAUAUGAUAUUAUAUAAUAACAUAAGCAUGCAACUCAAUAUAGGAUUACAAAUAAAAGCUUAUAAUAGCUUUUAAAGAAAAACUUCUUUUGAAUAAUCCUAAGUGAAACAGCAUGAUUUGGUGUGAUCCUAUGUACUUAAAAAAUAAAAUCAAAUCUUAAACGGGAAGGAAGGAAAUACUGUAGGCAGUGGUUAUCGUUGGGUGAUUUCCCUCCCUCACUCCUAUUGCUUAUUUUUUGCUCCUAUUUUAUUGAUAAUCAAGAUGAAUUUAUUUUAUAACGCACUUUUGAAAAAUUCAUGUCCUAUAUUAAAGAUUUUUGCUACCAAUUUAUUUCCUGUUCU
Non-coding RNA from Microcebus murinus (gray mouse lemur), 5043 nucleotides. The record is from RefSeq and is a predicted model, not a curated record. Lineage: Eukaryota; Metazoa; Chordata; Mammalia; Primates; Cheirogaleidae.